UUCCCAGACAAAAAAAACCAUUCACGCCAAGGGAGAAGCAUGAAUGGUCAAUACAUUGCGGGAAAACGUCUUACUCACUACUUCGAUCACUUCAAGGAAAAGCAAUCUCUGUCAGCGGUUUAUAUUGUAACUAUUUCAGUUUUAAAUAGCGUUAAACUGUGCAAUCGUUAUAUCAAU
This 177-nucleotide non-coding RNA is filed under the name Neisseria arctica. Lineage: Bacteria; Pseudomonadati; Pseudomonadota; Betaproteobacteria; Neisseriales; Neisseriaceae. The record is from RNAcentral.